Long non-coding RNA from Gadus macrocephalus (Pacific cod), 368 nucleotides. RefSeq lists it as uncharacterized. The record is from RefSeq and is a predicted model, not a curated record. The transcript has 3 exons. Lineage: Eukaryota; Metazoa; Chordata; Actinopteri; Gadiformes; Gadidae.
GGCACCUUGCCAUGGAGGCACCGUUUGACUUCACUGUUAAAGACAUGCCUGUCCUCAGAAAAUGGUGGUGCACAGUACUGCUUGAGAACUUCCACCUGGAUGGGCACGGCAGAAGGUUCCCACACUUCAUGGAGGAGGCCAAACAAAUGGCGGCUGGACUACUUCCACCAGUCUUCAGAAUGAAGCGAACAAGAGAAGUGAAUGACGUUUCCAGUGACAGAAUACAAAUAAUAUAUUGUAUAGGCUUAAUAUUGAUUUGACUGUUUGAUUCUUUUGACAGUGAGUUGGAGCUGAUGGCAGUCAGCAUGAAGAAGCUAUAUCUUUAGGCUUCUGUAGAUUAUUUGUUAAAUAAAUUGUGAGGAAACUUU